This 464-nucleotide ribosomal RNA is filed under the name uncultured bacterium. Its description in RNAcentral is "bacterial SSU rRNA". It matches the Rfam family "Bacterial small subunit ribosomal RNA", at positions 330 to 792 of the family's 1533-position model. The record is from RNAcentral.
UCCAGACUCCUACGGGAGGCAGCAGUGAGGAAUAUUGGUCAAUGGACGAGAGUCUGAACCAGCCAAGUAGCGUAAAGGAUGACUGCCCUAUGGGUUGUAAACUUCUUUUAUAUGGGAAUAAAACAGGGUAUGCAUACCCUCUUGUAUGUACCAUAUGAAUAAGGAUCGGCUAACUCCGUGCCAGCAGCCGCGGUAAUACGGAGGAUGCGAGCGUUAUCCGGAUUUAUUGGGUUUAAAGGGUGCGUAGGCGGACUGGAAAGUCAGCGGUAAAAUCGAGAGGCUCAACCUCUUUCCGCCGUUGAAACUGUCGGUCUUGAGUGGGCGAGAAGUAUGCGGAAUGCGUGGUGUAGCGGUGAAAUGCAUAGAUAUCACGCAGAACUCCGAUUGCGAAGGCAGCAUACCGGCGCCCGACUGACGCUGAGGCACGAAAGCGUGGGUAUCGAACAGGAUUAGAUACCCCUGUA